GGGUGACUGCGUACCUUUUGUAUAAUGGGUCAGCGACUUAUAUUCUGUAGCAAGGUUAACCGUAUAGGGGAGCCGCAGGGAAACCGAGUCUUAACUGGGCGUUAAGUUGCAGGGUAUAGACCCGAAACCCGGUGAUCUAGCCAUGGGCAGGUUGAAGGUUGGGUAACACUAACUGGAGGACCGAACCGACUAAUGUUGAAAAAUUAGCGGAUGACUUGUGGCUGGGGGUGAAAGGCCAAUCAAACCGGGAGAUAGCUGGUUCUCCCCGAAAGCUAUUUAGGUAGCGCCUCGUGAACUCAUCUUCGGGGGUAGAGCACUGUUUCGGCUAGGGGGUCAUCCCGACUUACCAACCCGAUGCAAACUACGAAUACCGAAGAAUGUUAUCACGGGAGACACACGGCGGGUGCUAACGUCCGUCGUGAAGAGGGAAACAACCCAGACCGCCAGCUAAGGUCCCAAAGUCAUGGUUAAGUGGGAAACGAUGUGGGAAGGCCCAGACAGCCAGGAUGUUGGCUUAGAAGCAGCCAUCAUUUAAAGAAAGCGUAAUAGCUCACUGGUCGAGUCGGCCUGCGCGGAAGAUGUAACGGGGCUAAACCAUGCACCGAAGCUGCGGCAGCGACACUAUGUGUUGUUGGGUAGGGGAGCGUUCUGUAAGCCGUUGAAGGUGGCCUGUGAGGGUUGCUGGAGGUAUCAGAAGUGCGAAUGCUGACAUAAGUAACGAUAAUGCGGGUGAAAAACCCGCACGCCGGAAGACCAAGGGUUCCUGUCCAACGUUAAUCGGGGCAGGGUGAGUCGACCCCUAAGGCGAGGCCGAAAGGCGUAGUCGAUGGGAAACAGGUUAAUAUUCCUGUACUUGGUGUUACUGCGAAGGGGGGACGGAGAAGGCUAUGUUGGCCGGGCGACGGUUGUCCCGGUUUAAGCAUGUAGGCGGAUGUUCCAGGUAAAUCCGGAACGUCACUAACGCUGAGGUGUGAUGACGAGGCACUACGGUGCUGAAGUGACAAAUGCCCUGCUUCCAGGAAAAGCCUCUAAGCAUCAGGUAACAUCAAAUCGUACCCCAAACCGACACAGGUGGUCAGGUAGAGAAUACCAAGGCGCUUGAGAGAACUCGGGUGAAGGAACUAGGCAAAAUGGUGCCGUAACUUCGGGAGAAGGCACGCUGAUGGUAAGUGAAGUGACUUGCUCACGGAGCUGAAAUCAGUCGAAGAUACCAGCUGGCUGCAACUGUUUAUUAAAAACACAGCACUGUGCAAACACGAAAGUGGACGUAUACGGUGUGACGCCUGCCCGGUGCCGGAAGGUUAAUUGAUGGGGUUAUCCUCACGGAGAAGCUCUUGAUCGAAGCCCCGGUAAACGGCGGCCGUAACUAUAACGGUCCUAAGGUAGCGAAAUUCCUUGUCGGGUAAGUUCCGACCUGCACGAAUGGCGUAAUGAUGGCCAGGCUGUCUCCACCCGAGACUCAGUGAAAUUGAACUCGCUGUGAAGAUGCAGUGUACCCGCGGCAAGACGGAAAGACCCCGUGAACCUUUACUAUAGCUUGACACUGAACACUGGUCCUUGAUGUGUAGGAUAGGUGGGAGGCUUUGAAGUGUGGACGCCAGUCUGCAUGGAGCCAUCCUUGAAAUACCACCCUUUAAUGGCUGGGGUUCUAACGUGGGCCCCUAAUCCGGGUUGCGGACAGUGUCUGGUGGGUAGUUUGACUGGGGCGGUCUCCUCCUAAAGAGUAACGGAGGAGCACGAAGGUCAGCUAAUCCUGGUCGGACAUCAGGAGGUUAGUGCAAUGGCAUAAGCUGGCUUGACUGCGAGCGUGACGGCGCGAGCAGGUGCGAAAGCAGGUCAUAGUGAUCCGGUGGUUCUGAAUGGAAGGGCCAUCGCUCAACGGAUAAAAGGUACUCCGGGGAUAACAGGCUGAUACCGCCCAAGAGUUCAUAUCGACGGCGGUGUUUGGCACCUCGAUGUCGGCUCAUCACAUCCUGGGGCUGAAGUAGGUCCCAAGGGUAUGGCUGUUCGCCAUUUAAAGUGGUACGCGAGCUGGGUUUAGAACGUCGUGAGACAGUUCGGUCCCUAUCUGCCGUGGGCGCUGGAGAAUUGAGGGGGGCUGCUCCUAGUACGAGAGGACCGGAGUGGACGCAUCACUGGUGUUCGGGUUGUCAUGCCAAUGGCAUUGCCCGGUAGCUAAAUGCGGAAGAGAUAAGUGCUGAAAGCAUCUAAGCACGAAACUUGCCCCGAGAUGAGUUCUCCCUGACUCCUUGAGAGUCCUGAAGGAACGUUGAAGACGACGACGUUGAUAGGCCGGGUGUGUAAGCGCAGCGAUGCGUUGAGCUAACCGGUACUAAUGAACCGUGAGGCUUAACCUU
RNAcentral lists this ribosomal RNA (2357 nucleotides) under Klebsiella oxytoca 09-7231. RNAcentral describes it as "bacterial LSU rRNA". It matches the Rfam family "Bacterial large subunit ribosomal RNA", at positions 591 to 2925 of the family's 2925-position model. Lineage: Bacteria; Pseudomonadati; Pseudomonadota; Gammaproteobacteria; Enterobacterales; Enterobacteriaceae. The record is from RNAcentral.